This 375-nucleotide ribosomal RNA is filed under the name uncultured bacterium. RNAcentral describes it as "bacterial SSU rRNA". It matches the Rfam family "Bacterial small subunit ribosomal RNA", at positions 8 to 394 of the family's 1533-position model. The record is from RNAcentral.
AGAGUUUGAUCCUGGCUCAGAACGAACGCUGGCGGCAUGCCUAACACAUGCAAGUCGAACGAAUAAGAGCCUAGCUUGCUAGGAAUUCUGUUAGUGGCAGACGGGUGCGUAACACGUGGGAACUUACCUUGCAGUAUGGGAUAACAACGGGAAACUGUUGCUAAUACCAUAUACUCUCUGAGGAGAAAAGAUUUAUCGCUGUAAGAUAGGCCCGCGCUAGAUUAGGUAGUUGGUGGGGUAAUGGCCUACCAAGCCUACGAUCUAUAGCUGGUCUGAGAGGACGACCAGCCACACUGGGACUGAGACACGGCCCAGACUCCUACGGGAGGCAGCAGUGGGGAAUAUUGGACAAUGGGCGAAAGCCUGAUCCAGCAA